AUGCAUUGUGACAUGUGGUGGAAGCUCCUUCCUUGGAGGCCAUCUGUCAGGGGUGCUUUGAUUGUGCUAUUCCUGCAUGGCAGAAGGGGGUUGGACUAUAUGGCCCAUGUGGUCUCUUCCAACUCUAUGAUUCUAUUAUUAUUAUUAUUAGUAGUAGUAGUAGUAGUAGUAGUAGUAGUAGUAUUAAACAGGGGCUGGAUGGCCAUCUGUCGGGGAUGCUUUGAUUGUGCUUUUCCUGCAUGGCAGAAGGGGGUUGGACUAGAUGGCCCAUGUGGUCUCUUUCAACUCUAUGAUUCUAUUAUUAUUAUUAUUCGUAGUAGUAGUACUAGUAGUGAUAUUAAAAAGGGGCUGGAUGGCCAUCUGUUGGGGAUGCUUUGAUUGUGCUUUUCCUGCGGGGGUUGAACUAGAUGGCCCAUGGCCCAUGUGGUCUCUUCCAACUCUAUGAUUCUAUUAUUAUUAUUAUUAUUAUUAGUAGUAGUAGUAGUAGUAGUAGUAGUAGUAGUAUUAAACAGGGGCUGGAUGGCCAUCUGUCGGGGAUGCUUUGAUGCAUGGCAGUAGGGGGUGGGACUAGAUGUUCCUUGACAUCUCUUCCAAUUCUAUGAUUUUAUGAUGAUGAUGUUAAUUAUUAUUAUUAUUAAGCAGGGUCUGGAUGGCCAUCUGUAGGGAGUGCUUUGUGUUUUUCCUGCAUAAUGGCAGAAGGUGGUUGGACUAGAUGGCCCAUGAACGUCGCUAUGGCAAGUUUGUUUUCCAAAGCCUUUUCCAAGGUGUAUUUAGUAUCUUCCUUUAAUUGACAUUCUUUAUUUAUUCUUAUGCUUAUUCUUUAUUUUUAUUCUUGAGCUUAAUAAAAGGGAAGUGAAAAAAAAUCUAGGAUGGGCACAACCUGUACAGCAUUUCUUUUUAACUCUUUGGUCUAUUUCAGGCAAUUAUCCUUUGCGGAAAUGACAUCAAGAUACAACCUGACCACCCACACACACACAUAUACGCAUGGCUUGUUGCCCAGUGUAUAUAACGGUGCCAUUUUAAUUACUGAAUCAAAUGCUUAUCUCACGAAUUACUUCGGGUUAAAGUCCACAGUAAAUGAAUUGUGGACUUUAAUACGAGUUGUCAUCAUAAAACCGCAUGUCUCUCUUGUACUAAUAAUAUCCAGAAUGAUAUAACUGAAUGAUAUAACUCUUUCCUACUAGUUGCUGGAGCCAUUCGUAUUGUAAAAUGAUCACUAAUGAUGGAAUUCUGUUUUAUUUCUUCCUCCUCGCCCGAUCCUAAAUCGAUGAGUCACACUGAGAUAAAGAAAAAAGAAGAAAUGCACAUUAUCAUAUACUUGCAUCAGAGCUUUGUGGAUGUUUAUUCAGAGGUUCAGAUUCGGGUCUGGGAAGGGAUUGUCAAUGAGGCCCUCUUGUCCCCGUCAUGCAAAUCCUAAUCAUGCCACUACUUUUUAAUCUACUGAGGGCUGUUGAUGAUGCUGCAGGGAAAAGAAAAGAAAGCCCUGCCGCUGUUCUCUUGCAUCCCAAACUCCAGCCUUGCUAAUUGCUACUGUCUCCCACUCAUUUGUCAUUAGGGCUUCAAAGGAAAACAAAGGAGUUUGCAAUUUGCUUUCUUCUGGCAAAUGAACAGCACACUUUGGGCGCCUUUCUUGCUGUUUGGAGGUGAUGUCUUGCAACAGGAGUUAAGAGGGUUGAAAGCGACACAAAAGGUUUACACACCUGCCAAGUGUCAGACCUGUCUGUCACUUAUUGUUCAGAACAGGCCUGGGCAAACUUGGGCGCUCCCUCCAGGUGUUUUGGAUUGCAACUCCCAUAAUUCCUAUUACCGCUCAACCCAAAUAACACAAAAUAAAUAAACCACUCAACCCAAAAUUAAGGGGCAUGCAUAUUCCCUAUUUUAAGACCAUUUUCAUUCCCAUCAACCUGCAAAUUAAGCCCAUGGCCAAAUAAAUACAAAACCAUACAGAGAAGGGAUUCCCCGAAAUGCAAAAGGCAAGAGGCCACUAUAACCAGAAAUGUAAUCUAAUAAUAUAAACUAAAAGACAAUAUUUCCUAUAUAUGCUACUAGCUGUGCCCAGCCACGCGUUGCUGUGGCGAAGUAUGGUGGUAUGGGAAAUAAAGUAUUGAGGAAUUGGCGGUAGUUAAGAUAAAGGGUAAAGGUUUUACCUUACAUUAAGUCCAUUAUAAAUGGGUUAUAUAGCUGAGUGGAAGGGCCUUGAGUCUACACUGCCAUAUAAUCCAGUUAAAAUCAGAUAAUCUGUAUUUUAUAGGCAGUGUGGAGUGAGGCCUAACUCUGCCUGUCCCCUGGGCUGAGUGGGUUGCUAGGAGACCAAGUGGGUCUCCUUCUAACUGGCAGCAAUUGGAUAAAAACAAUUAUUCCUCUCCCUCUAAUUAGAACUUUAUUUUUCUUUUCUUUUUGUUGUAUGAACAUAGAGGCAUGGAUGAGCGGCGUGCUGCAAGUAGCAUAAAGGAUGUGUAGGUGGCAGGCGAAAUUACAGAACAAUGAAAGG
Long non-coding RNA from Anolis carolinensis (green anole), 2491 nucleotides. The record is from Ensembl. Lineage: Eukaryota; Metazoa; Chordata; Lepidosauria; Squamata; Anolidae.